This 62-nucleotide microRNA precursor is filed under the name Caenorhabditis brenneri. The record is from RNAcentral. Lineage: Eukaryota; Metazoa; Nematoda; Chromadorea; Rhabditida; Rhabditidae.
GAUGACACUUGUAUAGUCACGGUUGUACUCUAAAUUUUCAACCUGCCUAUCUUGUGCCAUAG